RNAcentral lists this transfer RNA (84 nucleotides) under Anaerolineae bacterium. Its description in RNAcentral is "tRNA-Leu". Lineage: Bacteria; Bacillati; Chloroflexota; Anaerolineae. The record is from RNAcentral.
GGAGCGGGAACUCUACAGGUGUAGGGCCUUGCCUCAGAAGCAAAGGGUGCCUCCGGGCAUGGGGUUCGAGUCCUCCCCGCUCCG